UUUGGUACAAUUUUUUCCUCUCUGCUAAAAUUUGAAGCUUGUCUCAUGGCUUUUGUUCAUUUUAUUUAGGCAGUUUAGGAAAACAAAACUAUAAGAUAAUAUGCAUGGUAUUGUGGGUAAGUAGAUGCAAAUACAUAUAUCACUAUAUCCCAAAAAAGGGAUAGCCAUUAGCAAUAAGGGGACAAAGGAAGAGAGUGAAUGGAUGAUUAGUCACUCUCAAGAGUGUUUGGCAAAGGUGACAAGGUAAUAGGUACAACUUUAUCAUCAUCUUAGGUGGAUAGUGGGUCAUGUGACAUGUCCCAUUGCUGCAACCAUGGGCCACAACUAUGUCAUCCACCACAAAUUCAUUCCCUUCAUAUCUUCAUUCAACUUUUUCCACUAUAUGAAUACAUGGUUCAGUGACCCUCUCCUCAACACAGCACACAAUUCAGAUCACAAAUUAAACACAUAUUCUUCUCUUCUAAGGCUCCUGAAUAAGUAGAAAUAAUUAAGCAGAUGGCAUCAUAUUCAGUUAGAGGCUUAUCAAAGGUUCGGUCAUGGGAGAAAUGUUCCAAGCAAAUUAGGCAGCAUAGGACAAGGCUUUACAUAAUAUGGAGAUGCACUGUGUUACUAUUGUGCAGGCAAGACUAAACUAUCAUCAUAGCUUGGUGCUAGUUACCAUAAGUUGAAGAAAUGGGUAAAAGUAAAGUUACUUAGUUUUUAUGUUAAGGGUAGGUAGGUAAAAGAAACAAUAUGUUCAUGCUGAAUGUGUACAUUAUUAUAAAGUAGCUUCUAUACAAUUGAAGUUAAAGAUGAUACUUCAACUCAAUCUCAAUUUCAGGUCUCAGUUUUGUUGAUCCCAUUACUUAGUUUUGUUUUUUUGUUUUACUAACAUGAUGAGGCUACAACACACCAUUUGGGUGGUAACUAAUGUUAUAGAGUGCAAAAUUGCAAUUCCUUUGAAACUUUUUGACUUAAUAAAGAAGUUGGUUAUGACACCAAAUUGGUUCAGCACCUUGAAGUAAAUGGACAAUCAACCAUUUUCUAUCUUAAUACAAGUAAAUAAAUGGAAUCUUAGAACAAGG
Molecule: long non-coding RNA, 1064 nt
Filed under: Lupinus angustifolius (narrow-leaved blue lupine)
Lineage: Eukaryota; Viridiplantae; Streptophyta; Magnoliopsida; Fabales; Fabaceae
Description: long non-coding RNA (LANG_LNC000722)
Source: RNAcentral